GUCUGUUUGAUUUAAUUAACAGUCUGACCUGCCCAUUGAUUUUUUUAAAAGGCCGCGGUAUAAUGACCGUGCGAAGGUAGCAUAAUAAUUAGUCUUUUAAUUGAAGACUGGAAUGAAAGGUUGGACAAAAAGCAAUCUGUCUCAGCUUAAAAAUUGAAAUUAACUUUUAAGUGAAAAGGCUUAAAUAAUCUUAAAAGACGACAAGACCCUAUAAAACUUUAUAUAAUUAAUACUACUUUUAAAUUUAUAUAUUUAAAUAAAACUAUUAUUACUUGUAUUACGUUGGGGCGACGAGAGUAUAAUUAUAUAACUGCUCUAUUUUUAAACAAUAAUAUUUGUUCUUCAAUGACCCUUUUUUAUAGAUCAAAAGAAAAAGUUACUUUAGGGAUAACAGCGUAAUUUUUUUUGAGAGUCCUUAUCGACAAAAAAGCUUGCGACCUCGAUGUUGAAUUAAAGUCCCACUGUAGUGCAGCAAUUAUAGAGGUAGGUCUGUUCGACCUUUAAAACUUUACAUGAUUUGAGUUCAAACCGGCGUGAG
Molecule: ribosomal RNA, 538 nt
Filed under: Cheramoides sp. GMX_1
Lineage: Eukaryota; Metazoa; Arthropoda; Malacostraca; Decapoda; Callianassidae
Description: partial large subunit ribosomal RNA
Rfam family: Bacterial large subunit ribosomal RNA
Source: RNAcentral